This 800-nucleotide long non-coding RNA is filed under the name Homo sapiens (human). RNAcentral describes it as "HSALNT0193153". The record is from RNAcentral. Lineage: Eukaryota; Metazoa; Chordata; Mammalia; Primates; Hominidae.
GUCAAUUUUUCAGACCUUCAUUCUCUUGUGAAGGUCCCUGCUUAUGUGUAAAAAUUGUAAUUAAACUUGUAUGCUUUUCUCCGGUCAAUCUGUCAUAUAUCAGUUUAAUUCUUAGGCCCAGUUGGAAGAGGGCCUAAAUGGGAAGAGGAGACUUUUUCUUUCCUCCUCAACAGCUCCUUCAGUCCCCCAAUUGUUUGUGCCACCUUUCUUUUCCUCAUCCUCCUCAUGCUAAAUCAUGAAGCUCACUCAAUUUCCUUCAUGUCUGCAUGAUCCUGGAGCUGCAUGUGGUUCUAAAGCAGGGGCAGCAGCAGAAGGACCAAGGGGCCUAACACAAGAUAGGGGUCAUGCCAGCUACGGGAGAUCAGAGAAGAGUCAUGGAAGAAUUUCAACAGUCCAUGAAGGCAAGAGGACAUUAUGAAAAUAAAAAAGGGAGCCAAGAGAACAAUUGAUUGAAGUGCACUUGGAAUGAGGAUGAUAUGGUUUGGCUGUGUCCCCACCCAAAUCUUAUUUUGAAUUGUAGCUCCCAUAAUUCCACGUGUCAUGGGAGGGACCCAAUGGGAGGUAAUUUAAUCAUAGGGGUGGGUCUUUCCCAUGCUGUUCUCAUGAUAAUGAAUAAGUCUUAUGAGAUCUGAUGGUUUUAUAAAGGGGAGUUCCCCUGCACACGCUCUUUUGCCUGCCAUCAUGUAACAUGUGCCAUUUGCCUUCCGCCAUGAUUGUGAGGCCUCCCCAGCCACAUGGAACUGUGAGUCCAUUAAACCUCUUUUUCUUUAUAAAUUAACCAGUUUCAGGUAUGUUUUUAU